ACGCUGGCGGCGUGCUUAACACAUGCAAGUCGAACGGAAAGGCCCUGCGUUUGUGGGGUGCUCGAGUGGCGAACGGGUGAGUAACACGUGAGUAACCUGCCCUUGACUUUGGGAUAACUUCAGGAAACUGGGGCUAAUACCGGAUAGGAGCUCCUGCUGCAUGGUGGGGGUUGGAAAGUUUCGGCGGUUGGGGAUGGACUCGCGGCUUAUCAGCUUGUUGGUGGGGUAGUGGCUUACCAAGGCUUUGACGGGUAGCCGGCCUGAGAGGGUGACCGGCCACAUUGGGACUGAGAUACGGCCCAGACUCCUACGGGAGGCAGCAGUGGGGAAUAUUGCACAAUGGGCGGAAGCCUGAUGCAAGCAACGCCGCGUGCGGGAUGACGGCCUUCGGGUUGUAAACCGCUUUCGCCUGUGACGAAGCGUGAGUGACGGUAAUGGGUAAAGAAGCACCGGCUAACUACGUGCCAGCAGCCGC
RNAcentral lists this ribosomal RNA (475 nucleotides) under uncultured bacterium. RNAcentral's name for it is "bacterial SSU rRNA". It matches the Rfam family "Bacterial small subunit ribosomal RNA", at positions 33 to 518 of the family's 1533-position model. The record is from RNAcentral.